This 253-nucleotide ribosomal RNA is filed under the name uncultured bacterium. RNAcentral's name for it is "partial 16S ribosomal RNA". It matches the Rfam family "Bacterial small subunit ribosomal RNA", at positions 524 to 776 of the family's 1533-position model. The record is from RNAcentral.
UACGUAGGUUUCUCUCGUUCCUCGUCCUUCCUGGGCGUAAAGCGUGCGCAGGCGGUUAUGUAAGACAGAUGUGAAAUCCCCGGGGUCAACCUGGGACCUGCAUUUGUGACUGCAUAGCUAGAGUACGGUAGAGGGGGAUGGAAUUCCGCGUGUAGCAGUGAAAUGCGUAGAUAUGCGGAGGAACACCGAUGGCGAAGGCAACCCCCUGGACCUGUACUGACGCUCAUGCACGAAAGCGUGGGGAGCAAACAGG